GACGAACGCUGGCGGCGUGCCUAAUACAUGCAAGUUGAGCGCUGAAGGUUGGUACUUGUACCAACUGGAUGAGCAGCGAACGGGUGAGUAACGCAUGGGGAAUCUGCCUUUGAGCGGGGGACAACAUUUGGAAACGAAUGCUAAUACCGCAUAAAAACUUUAAACACAAGUUUUAAGUUUGAAAGAUGCAAUUGCAUCACUCAAAGAUGAUCCCGCGUUGUAUUAGCUAGUUGGUGAGGUAAAGGCUCACCAAGGCGAUGAUACAUAGCCGACCUGAGAGGGUGAUCGGCCACAUUGGGACUGAGACACGGCCCAAACUCCUACGGGAGGCAGCAGUAGGGAAGCUUCGGCAAUGGACGAAAGUCUGACCGAGCAACGCCGCGUGAGUGAAGAAGGUUUUCGGAUCGUAAAACUCUGUUGGUAGAGAAGAACGUUGGUGAGAGUGGAAAGCUCAUCAAGUGACGGUAACUACCCAGAAAGGGACGGCUAACUACGUG
RNAcentral lists this ribosomal RNA (497 nucleotides) under uncultured bacterium. RNAcentral's name for it is "partial 16S ribosomal RNA". It matches the Rfam family "Bacterial small subunit ribosomal RNA", at positions 28 to 507 of the family's 1533-position model. The record is from RNAcentral.